CUAUCAAACACAUAAUAAUGGGGUUCGAACCCACGCCCUUACUAGAGGACCAGAACUUAAGUCUGGCACCUUAAACCACUCGGCCAAUCUGACA
This is a non-coding RNA of Cordylochernes scorpioides, 94 nucleotides long. NCBI's taxonomy places the organism in Eukaryota, Metazoa, Arthropoda, Arachnida, Pseudoscorpiones, Chernetidae. The record is from the annotation of a GenBank genome assembly.